CAGCAGCCGCGGGAACACGGAUGGAGCUAGCGUUGUUCGGAAUUACUGGGCGUAAAGCGCACGUAGGCGGUUAUUCAAGUCAGAGGUGAAAGCCCGGGGCUCAACCCCGGAACUGCCUUUGAAACUAGAUGACUAGAAUCUUGGAGAGGUCAGUGGAAUUCCGAGUGUAGAGGUGAAAUUCGUAGAUAUUCGGAAGAACACCAGUGGCGAAGGCGACUGACUGGACAAGUAUUGACGCUGAGGUGCGAAAGCGUGGGGAGCAAACAGGAUUAGAUACCCGCGUAGUCCCUGUCUCUUAUAA
RNAcentral lists this ribosomal RNA (301 nucleotides) under uncultured bacterium. Its description in RNAcentral is "partial 16S ribosomal RNA". It matches the Rfam family "Bacterial small subunit ribosomal RNA", at positions 509 to 809 of the family's 1533-position model. The record is from RNAcentral.